UUCUACGGAUUAUCGGGGGUUGUUUUACCCCAGAUGGUCAUAGAGUAGCUGCAUACAUCACCUCGAAAUUUAAAGAGCGAUUUAGUCCCGCUGGUACUACAUGGAAGCGGGUAGACCCAGAUAUGAAGCAAUUUUAUUACGAUGAGUUUUUGAAAAGAUAUACUUGGGAGACAGAGCACGAGGCAGAAUUUUAUGCUACCUGGAACGCAGCUUGUGCCAAACUAUACAAAGACAUGCUAUAUAAA
Long non-coding RNA from Zingiber officinale, 245 nucleotides. RefSeq lists it as uncharacterized. The record is from RefSeq and is a predicted model, not a curated record. Lineage: Eukaryota; Viridiplantae; Streptophyta; Magnoliopsida; Zingiberales; Zingiberaceae. The transcript has 3 exons.